AUGCUUCGACGUCCUCAUCGAUAUCCUGAUAUGCGGAAUCUUCGUCGCCCUGGUACAGUUGUUCGUUUCCGAUCUGUGGAGCAUGCUUGGUGUCGGCGUGCCUGCCAUGGGGAUUCUUUUUGCAAGACUCUAUUGCAACAUCAAUAUCAAUAUGAGUGUUUUUGGUCUUGGGAAAAAGGGGCUACACCACAAGAUGGACCUUGGGGGUGGGGUGGGAAGGAGGGGAUGUAUCCGGUGCACCCGCAUUUGUGA
Molecule: ribosomal RNA, 252 nt
Filed under: Triticum aestivum (bread wheat)
Lineage: Eukaryota; Viridiplantae; Streptophyta; Magnoliopsida; Poales; Poaceae
Description: partial small subunit ribosomal RNA
Source: RNAcentral